AACGGUCUAUACCUGCGGUACCUGCGGAAGGAUCAUUACUGAAGUGAUUUGGGGAUGUUGCUGGCCUCUCAACGGGGGCAUUGUGCACUCCUCGAAACAAUUCACAAUUUCCAUCACACCCCUUGUGCACACCUUGUAGGCACCCCAACCCACCUCUGGGUGGCAGGGUCCUAUGUAUUCCUUCAUUUCACACUUUGUUGAAUGGUGCCAUUAGGACACAUCUAAAGGAUUAUUUGUAAA
Molecule: unclassified non-coding RNA, 240 nt
Filed under: soil metagenome
Description: partial contains 5.8S ribosomal RNA, internal transcribed spacer 2, and large subunit ribosomal RNA
Source: RNAcentral